CGUCGGAGCCCGAAUUGGGCCAGGAACAGUCCCGUUCAGACCUGCAGCUGUGCAAGCGGGGCUGCUAGCCAAGCCCCUGGGCUGAAUUUGGAGGGGGGUGUCUCUGAACCCCGAAGCCGUUGCAUGCCGGUGGGAUAAUCCUUCUCUUCAGAGCUGAAGAAGCUUCUUGGAUGAGAAGCAAAACGUCUUCCAAAGAAAAACAAGGAAGUCCAGUUGCUUUCUUUGGGACACCGAUGAUCUGGAUGAGGGAGAACCUCCAUAGACAUCUGUUUUUGACUUCUUACUCAGCUGUUUUGGGGGAAAAGCGGCUAUCUGGGUCCAUUUGCGCUAACCCAGAUUUAAUUAACCAGGAAGCAAAUGGGCAGAUCAAAAGGGAUGAUCCAGCCCAGAGAAACAAUAGCAGGCUGUUAAUAGAAGCAACAGGAUGACCGGAUCCAGCCUUCUCCAGAUGCUUUCCCUUUGAUCCUGCAUUGGGGGGGGGAACAGGUGGGCCCCAAGCACCUCCCAGAAGCUCCAGUUUAACCUAACCAGGAGGAUCAUCAGAGCCAUCUUCUCAGCUGUGUUCUAGUCCUGCAGCCGCCAUCCAACAGGCUCAGAUAAUACGGGUCUCCUCUUCUGAUUGAUGCUGUUUCCAAGCUGCCCGGCUAAAUCUCCUGAGACCCAAUUACAUCCCGGUCCACAAUCCAGGACAUCGAAAGCAAUAAAAAUGACGCUUGAGCAAA
Molecule: long non-coding RNA, 722 nt
Organism: Crotalus tigris (Tiger rattlesnake)
Lineage: Eukaryota; Metazoa; Chordata; Lepidosauria; Squamata; Viperidae
Exons: 4
Source: RefSeq, a predicted model, not a curated record